CCUACGGGAGGCAGCAGUGACGAAUAUUGGUCAAUGGGCUUACGCCUGAACCAGCCAAGUCGCGUGAGGGAAGACUGCCCUAUGGGUUGUAAACCUCUUUUGUCAGGGAGCAACGCCGGCUACGUGUAGCCGGACUGAGAGUACCUGAAGAAAAAGCAUCGGCUAACUCCGUGCCAGCAGCCGCGGUAAUACGGAGGAUGCGAGCGUUAUCCGGAUUUUUUGGGUUUAAAGGGUGCGUAGGCGGAAUGCCAAGUCAGCGGUAAAAUCGCGGGGCUCAACCUCGCUCCGCCGUUGAAACUGGCGUUCUUGAGUGGGCGAGAAGUAUGCGGAAUGCGUGGUGUAGCGGUGAAAUGCAUAGAUAUCACGCAGAACUCCGAUUGCGAAGGCAGCAUACCGGCGCCCAACUGACGCUGAAGCACGAAAGCGUGGGUAUCGAACAGGAUUAGAUACCCUAGUAGUC
Molecule: ribosomal RNA, 460 nt
Filed under: uncultured bacterium
Lineage: Bacteria
Description: partial 16S ribosomal RNA
Rfam family: Bacterial small subunit ribosomal RNA
Source: RNAcentral